RNAcentral lists this long non-coding RNA (490 nucleotides) under Phasianus colchicus (ring-necked pheasant). RNAcentral describes it as "lncRNA (ENSPCLG00000021300.1)". Lineage: Eukaryota; Metazoa; Chordata; Aves; Galliformes; Phasianidae. The record is from RNAcentral.
CGUGGGCGGGAGCGUCUCGAGAGAUGGAGGCUCGUGCAGCUCGCGCCGGGACAGACGGCGACGGACCGGCAGCCUCAGCCAAAUCAGCAGAGGACAGCAGGAAUACAUCUGAAGUUGACAGCUGUACUUGCAGCUUAAAGUAUAGCAACGUUUAGCUGAAAAGAACUUAGUCAUCAUGGAGCUGGCAGUUCAGCACAAUUGCUGUAACAAGCAGACUAAAGAAGAUGGAAGAGAAUAAGCAGCUUUUUUUUUUUUCACCCAAGAAUCAGUCAAACAGCUACAGAGUUCUACAAGGUAUGGAAAAAAAAAAAAAAUAAUAAUCCCUUGCUUAUAAACAAUUAUCUCUGCUAAGACAAAACUAGUCAAAGAAAUCUUGGAGACCAGGAAAGGAAGAAGAAAAGAAAACGAGAUCAAGCAUGGUCUGAGAAAGUAGUAGAGAGGAAAACUAGUAGCUAGUAACUAGAAACUACUAAAGAGGGACCCAAACCCA